This is a transfer RNA of Ovis aries (sheep), 72 nucleotides long. It matches the Rfam family "tRNA". Rfam says of the family: Transfer RNA (tRNA) molecules are approximately 80 nucleotides in length. NCBI's taxonomy places the organism in Eukaryota, Metazoa, Chordata, Mammalia, Artiodactyla, Bovidae. The record is from Rfam.
UCCCUGGUGGCUCAGACGGUAAAGCUUCUGUCUACAAUGUAGGAGACCCAGGUUCGAGCCCUGGGUUGGGAA